AAAAAUCUUUCAAGAAGGCAAAGAAAACAUAAAAAAAGUAAAAAAUUUUUUUUUAAAAAAACAAUUCCAAAGACAGUAACAUCGUAAGAAAUCAAAUUAUAAGCCCAAAAAUAGUACCGCAAGGGAAAAAUGAAAUAAUAAUAAAUAAAAAAUUUAUUAAAGUAAAGAUUAACACUUUUACCUCGUGUAUAAUGAAUUAACAAGAAAGAAGCUAGAAAAUGCUAACCCCGAAACCAAGCGAGCUACUCUUUUCUCUUUUUCAGAAAGGACAAGGUACUGUUGCAAUAGUACCCCCAAAGAAAAGAAUAGUUGUGAAAUGCUAAACGCGCUAGGAUAUAGCUGGCUUUCCGAGAAAUUAGUCUAAGCUAAGACCUCCAAACACAAAAAAGAAAAAUAUUACAAGAUAUUAGACAAUCUCCUAAAAUUUUAACAAAAGGUCAGAACACCAAGGAUAAACUUGGUGCUCAAGAUGGAAAAAGCCAACAAUUUUAGUUAAGGUCAAAGAACAAAAUAAAUAGACAAACAAAAAAAGAAUAGGCCUAGAAGCAGCCCUUUAACAAAAAAGCGUUAAAGCUUAAUUAAAAAACAAGUCUAAAAAAUAACUGAAAGCCAAACCAAAACUAAAAAAACGUAUCGGAAUAAUCUUUAAGAAGAGAAAACAAUGUUAAUAUGAGUAAGAAAGAUUUCACCUGCAACAUAUACGGAAAUAACCCUGGAAGUAGAAACAAUGAUAAUAAAAAAGUAAUUUCAAAAAACGUCUUCCAACGCAGGAGAAAGGAAAAAAAAAAAAAAAAAAAGGAACUCGGCAAAUAGUGCUUCGCCUGUUUACCAAAAACAUCGCCCCUUGUUAACUUUACAUAAGGGGUCCUGCCUGCCCAGUGACCAAGGUUAAACGGCCGCGGUAUCUUGACCGUGCAAAGGUAGCAUAAUCACUUGUCUCCUAAAUAGAGACUGGUAUGAAUGGCAAGACGGAGCUAGACUGUCUCUUUUUUUAACCCUGAAAUUUACUUCUACGUGAAGAGGCGUAGAUAAAAUCGCUAGACGAGAAGACCCUGUCGAGCUUAAAGUAAAACGUAAGACCCCCAAAAAGUUAAACAAUACUAAUCAAUAAAUUUACAAAACUUAGACUACAGCGUUCUUACGAAAAGCUUUGGUUGGGGCAACCGCGGAAAAAGAAAAUCUUCCGUUAACUAAAAAUUUAACAAAGGAAUACCCUCCUAAUAUCAGAAAUGAAAGCAUGAUCCACUUAGGUGAUCAAAGGAACAAGUUACCGCAGGGAUAACAGCGUUAUCUUUUUUGAGAGUUCACAUUGACAAAAAGGUUUGCGACCUCGAUGUUGGAUCGGGACAUCCUGAGGGUGCAGAAGCUCUCAAGGGUUGGUCUGUUCGACCAUUAAAGUCCUACGUGAUCUGAGUUCAGACCGGCGAAAGCCAGGUCAGUUUCUAUCUUCGUAAAAAUCUUUCUUAGUACGAAAGGACCAGAAAGAAAGUGUCCAUACAAAAACAAGCAAACACUAAAAUUAAAAAC
RNAcentral lists this ribosomal RNA (1527 nucleotides) under Temnopleurus toreumaticus. RNAcentral's name for it is "16S ribosomal RNA". It matches the Rfam family "Bacterial large subunit ribosomal RNA", at positions 160 to 2769 of the family's 2925-position model. Lineage: Eukaryota; Metazoa; Echinodermata; Echinoidea; Temnopleuroida; Temnopleuridae. The record is from RNAcentral.